Molecule: ribosomal RNA, 826 nt
Filed under: Meiothermus sp.
Lineage: Bacteria; Thermotogati; Deinococcota; Deinococci; Thermales; Thermaceae
Description: bacterial SSU rRNA
Rfam family: Bacterial small subunit ribosomal RNA
Source: RNAcentral
UAGAAUGCAGUCGAACGGGCUGUUUAUGCAGCCAGUGGCGGACGGGUGAGUAACACGUAGGUGACCUACCCCAAAGUCUGGGACAACUAGGAGAAAUCUUAGCUAAUCCUGGAUGUGGACAUCUACUUUGGUGGAUGUUUAAAGCUUCGGCGCUUUGGGAUGGGCCUGCGGCGCAUCAGGUAGUUGGUGGGGUAAUGGCCUACCAAGCCGACGACGCGUAGCUGGUCUGAGAGGACGAUCAGCCACAGGGGUACUGAGACACGGACCCCACUCCUACGGGAGGCAGCAGUUAGGAAUCUUCCGCAAUGGGCGAAAGCCUGACGGAGCGAUACCGCUUGAAGGACGAAGCCCUUCGGGGUGUAAACUUCUGAACUCGGGACGAUAAUGACGGUACCGAGGUAAUAGCACCGGCUAACUCCGUGCCAGCAGCCGCGGUAAUACGGAGGGUGCGAGCGUUACCCGGAUUUACUGGGUGUAAAGGGCGUGUAGGCGGUCUCUCAAGUCCGAUGCUAAAGACCGAAGCUCAACUUCGGGGGUGCGUUGGAUACUGUGAGGCUAGACGGUCGGAGAGGGUAGCGGAAUUUCCGGAGUAGCGGUGAAAUGCGCAGAUACCGGAAGGAACGCCAAUAGCGAAAGCAGCUACCUGGACGAUUUGUGACGCUGAGGCGCGAAAGCGUGGGGAGCAAACCGGAUUAGAUACCCGGGUAGUCCACGCCCUAAACGAUGAGUGCUGGGUGUCCGACAUCUGUUGGGUGCCGUAGCUAACGCGUUAAGCACUCCACCUGGGAAGUACGGUCGCAAGACUGAAACUCAAAGGAAUUGACGG